GAGCUCUGAUUUGCUUAUUGCACCACAUGUGUUUUUCUUUGAAACAAACUUGCUUUGGCGGUGGGCCCAGCCUGCCGCCAGAGGUCUAAACUUACAACCAAUUUUUUAUUAACUUGUCACACCAGAUUAUUACUUAAUAGUCAAAACUUUCAACAACGGAUCUCUUGGUUCUCGCAUCGAUGAAGAACGCAGCGAAAUGCGAUACGUAAUAUGAAUUGCAGAUAUUCGUGAAUCAUCGAAUCUUUGAACGCACAUUGCGCCCUCUGGUAUUCCGGAGGGCAUGCCUGUUUGAGCGUCGUUUCUCCCUCAAACCGCUGGGUUUGGUGUUGAGCAAUACGACUUGGGUUUGCUUGAAAGACGGUAGUGGUAAGGCGGGAUCGCUUUGACAAUGGCUUAGGUCUAACCAAAAACAUUGCUUGCGGCGGUAACGUCCACCACGUAUAUCUUCAAACUUUGACCUCAAAUCAGGUAGGACUACCCGCUGAACUUAAGCAUAUCAAAAGGCGGGAG
RNAcentral lists this ribosomal RNA (510 nucleotides) under Candida albicans. RNAcentral describes it as "eukaryotic LSU rRNA". The stretch from base 145 to 298 matches the Rfam family "5.8S ribosomal RNA". The record is from RNAcentral. Lineage: Eukaryota; Fungi; Ascomycota; Pichiomycetes; Serinales; Debaryomycetaceae.